Pan paniscus (pygmy chimpanzee) is the source of this 652-nucleotide long non-coding RNA. The record is from Ensembl. NCBI's taxonomy places the organism in Eukaryota, Metazoa, Chordata, Mammalia, Primates, Hominidae.
CUUGGUGGUUGGCUACUGAGGUACAAGCAAGAGACCUCAGAUUAGGAUGGUGGUAGCAGAUAUUGUGUAGAAAGGACAGAUGUUAGAGCCAUUUUUAGGGAACAUUGAAGAACUGGAAUAAUGGACAUGAAUGGAGAAGAUAGGCAUCCAUAUUGGACCAGCCCCUGUCCACAGUAUUGAAGAUAUCCUUAUGUGCAUAGACCUUGCUGGUUCAGUGGCAGUGGCUAGAUCAUGAGUGAGCAUCUCUUUUAGAGCAAGUCUACACAGAGGGAGUGGUUGGUAUGUCAAUAACUCUCCAGAUUGUGUUGCAAACACCAUCUUCAACUCAGCCAUUUUUCUCUUGGUUUUGAAAAAACCAGAGAAUAAGCAAGAGGAGGACAAAGAAAAUCACUUAGUGACACUGUCCAACAAUCCUGAGAGUGUUUCUGGGUUCCUGCCUCCUUCUCAAUCUUCCUAUAUUGUCUGAAGUGCUCCAUAACCUGAUGCCUAUAAAGGUGAACUGAAUAGAACAACAAAGUCUUGCUGAAAUUUUAAACAUGAACAGUGACUCUUCUGUAUUCAAUGCACAACAAUUCUAGAACAAUAUUUCUUGUACUAUUGUGCCUUAAAAGCAAACAGCAAAACAAAACAAAAACAAAAACAAUAAAAAAAC